CUCAGACUGAAUGGGCUGAUUCAUUCAAUAGACCUCUAUAUACCUUCACUUUCAAACUUUUUACCAGACCAAACCUCCCUUAAAAACACAAAGACGUGUGACUGUGCAGUAAGCUUUACCAUAUUUAAAGGGUAACUUCAGUAUUUUUCAACCUGGACUCUAU
Long non-coding RNA from Sebastes umbrosus (honeycomb rockfish), 163 nucleotides. RefSeq lists it as uncharacterized. Lineage: Eukaryota; Metazoa; Chordata; Actinopteri; Perciformes; Sebastidae. The transcript is spliced from 4 exons. The record is from RefSeq and is a predicted model, not a curated record.